GCGGGCGUGGCGAAACUGGUAGACGCAACAGACUUAAAAUCUGUCAGCCGCAAGGCUAUGCCGGUUCGAUCCCGGCCGCCCGCACCA
This 87-nucleotide transfer RNA is filed under the name Caulobacter sp. Its description in RNAcentral is "tRNA-Leu". It matches the Rfam family "tRNA". Rfam says of the family: Transfer RNA (tRNA) molecules are approximately 80 nucleotides in length. Their secondary structure includes four short double-helical elements and three loops (D, anti-codon, and T loops). RNAcentral also lists the same sequence under 3 other names. Lineage: Bacteria; Pseudomonadati; Pseudomonadota; Alphaproteobacteria; Caulobacterales; Caulobacteraceae. The record is from RNAcentral.